UUCAAACAAGAUUUGAAAUAAAACAGGCCACAAAUAUAGCAGCGCAACAACCAUCAGGUUUGAUCAUGUAAAUUUCAGCAAAUAAGCUCUAGGGAUUAAUAAAACUGCAUCUGUCCAACAUAACAGGCACACAUUAGUUAUAAAGUGGCCUCCAACAUAACCCUUAACAGUCCAACAUCAGUUCAACCAUCACAGCAUAGUUCAGAGUUUAAAUAGUCCGGUACAGCCAACAGACUUAAAGUAUUACACAUAGAAACAACAGCUCCAAAAGGCAACUAUCAAAGUAUGACAUUGAAACAGCAGCUCCAAGCUUGCCUACAUCCAAAAGCUUCUUGAUAUCCUUAGUUAUUCUUCAAGUGCCAUUUAUGGUUUAGAGAAAACAGAGGAAGGGUCAGGAUGGAGGUAGUUCUGCAUCGGAAUUAUCUUCUGCCACUUUGUGCAUUAAAAAUAAAAUGGACUAACAGGACAAGUGGCUAGUAGAACAAUAGUCAAAUUUAUACAUGCUCAUGAAUCAAAUAACAAAUCUACUACAGCAAUAUAGUUUUUUAUUCACCAAAAAGCUUCAGGAGCAAAGGUUAAAUGCCUCCAUAUACUAGAAUGAUGAAUUCUAGUUUACAGUUUUUACUCGAGCACAACAAAACUCUAAGGAUACAAAGAAAACAACAUAGACACAAACAGCCCACUGUUGGCUUGGACUAGCCAUUUGUCAAUUGUCAUACAAAAGGAAAAUCAGGAUGGAUGUAGUUCAACAUCAGAAUUUUCUUCUUCCACUUUGUGCAUAAUGAAAUAAAAUGGACUAACAUGGAGGUGUCUAGUGCAACAAUAGUCAAGUGGUAACAUUUCAGGAUAACAUAAAUACAUUGCUUAACAUGACAACGAAGGCUAGGCAUGGAUAGAAAGUGUAUACAUCUAAGAAACUAGCAGCUCCAAGUAACUAAAAUUUUCUAAGCAAUUAUCAUGAAUCAUAAAACACUAGAAAGAAGAGACUUGCCAACAGAUUUCUAAGCAACAGGGUAUAGGCUGUUGACGCCCUUGGUCUUCUUCUUGACAAGCCGUACAGAUCUACGGGUCUCCAAAUUGCCAUCUCUUGGAGGUGCGUCCUUUUCCACUUGAAUUUGUGUCUCUUUUUCCACUUGCAUUUGGGCCUCUUGCUGAUCAUGCAUGGAUGGAGCAUCUUCCCCAUCCUCACUCACCCCAUCAUUAUCCUCACUCUCACUAUCAACAAAUACAUUCUCUUCAAAAUCACAUGACAAAAGAACAACGGUCAGUUAUGAAGAGUAGGUAACUAGAGAAGCAACCCUUGCUUACUUGGGUGUCCUCACAUGAAUGAGGAACAAAAACAGUACAGCUUAAUGCUCUAGUUUAGAUACUAAGGAAUAAGUAAUUUAACUACAACCUGAUGCUCUAGUUUGCCAAAAAGACAAGUCAAAAAUAAUAAUCUAUUCUUGAGAAAGAUACUGCGAAGCUUAGUUCUAGAACCACCACUUAAUGGUACCGCUGAACAUUGAAAUUAACCAUCGGUCAACAUCUACUUAGUUAAAUACACAACACAACUGAAUUAUUAUUGGACGUACUGUAGAUCUAAAUAAAUGAUCAAUUCAAACAUGAGAUGCUUCUGCAAACAUACAAGCGAGUGGUUGGAGGUGAUGAAAAAAACUUUAAUAUUGCACACAAGCAUCAUCUCAACAGCUCAAAAACAAGCACACACCCCAGAUCUAUGGAACGAUUAUAUAUUUUAGGAUGUUCAGAAUAACGUUUGUAACCCACUUUUUUGUUGGACCAAAAUAAAUAGUACCAGAUCGUGAGCAUCCUUAGUGAAUACCAGAUGCAUGUGUGUUUCAGAUUAUAUACCAAACCAAAACAUUGUGAGACUCCUUGGUGACUACCAGAUGCAUGUAUAUUUCAGAUUAAUAAUCUCACUGUUGUACGUUCAACUCAUCAAGACUCACUUUUUCUUAACCCCGUAUGAUAUAUGCAUUUGCCGAGCCAUUUACCAGGGACCUCUCCUAAAUCUAAAGCAGCACAAGCAGACACAGAUUAUAACCAAGAAACAAAGCAACAUCGAUCUGAAAUUGCUCAAGAACUGAAACUGCAUACACGUACUGAAACUGCAUCAAGAACAUUUGUAC
RNAcentral lists this long non-coding RNA (2129 nucleotides) under Triticum aestivum (bread wheat). RNAcentral describes it as "long non-coding RNA (TAES_LNC003912)". The record is from RNAcentral. Lineage: Eukaryota; Viridiplantae; Streptophyta; Magnoliopsida; Poales; Poaceae.